Long non-coding RNA from Triticum dicoccoides, 2487 nucleotides. RefSeq lists it as uncharacterized. The transcript is spliced from 9 exons. The record is from RefSeq and is a predicted model, not a curated record. Lineage: Eukaryota; Viridiplantae; Streptophyta; Magnoliopsida; Poales; Poaceae.
UCCCACGGCCAGCCGCCGGCGCUGCUCCUACUCUGCCCGGCCUAUCCCUUGGCCAACCGCCGUCACGCUGGUCGCUCCCUCACCAGGUCAGCCACUGCCACACCCGAUGCUCUCUCGGCCAGCCACCGCGACCGAUGCUCCUCGGCCUGCCGCCGUCGCCGCAAACGACGCUCCUCUGCAUGCUGCCGCCACCACGACCGAUGAUCUCCCGUGAAUUAAUUCUCUUCCCGCUACCGCUCUGUAUCCACCACUAGCCUUCCGCCUCCACGACGUCUGCCAUCCCAGCCACGAAUGCACAUGAAACGGCCUGCCGCACCACAUAAUUCAUUCACACAAAAUGCGGAAUGCGGAAUAAAAUGGGUUUAAAUACCCUAUGUGGUACCGUCGUCAUCUUGCCGCACUUGCCGCACCAUAUCCACCACUAGCCUUCCGCCUCCACGACGUCUGUCAUCCCUAUUCAUUACCUCACUUUCCGUUACCCUGCAAAUGCGGAAUAAAAUGGGUUUAAAUACCCUAUGUGGUACCAUCGUCAUCCAUCACACACGCCUUCUCGCGUCCCAUCUGGGAAGAGGCCUCCGGCCCGGCCUAUCCCUUGGCCAACCGCCGUCACGCUGGUCGCUCCCUCACCAGGUCAGCCACUGCCACACCCGAUGCUCUCUCGGCCAGCCACCGCGACCGAUGCUCCUCGGCCUGCCGCCGUCGCCGCAAACGACGCUCCUCUGCAUGCUGCCGCCACCACGACCGAUGAUCUCUCGUGAAUUAAUUCUCUUCCCGCUACCGCUCUGUAUCCAUCACUAGCCUUCCGCCUCCACGACGUCUGCCAUCCCAGCCAUGAAUGCACAUGAAACGGCCUGCCGCACCACAUAAUUCAUUCACACAAAAUGCGGAAUGCGGAAUAAAAUGGGUUUAAAAUGGGUUUAAAUACCCUAUGUGGUACCGUCGUCAUCUUGCCGCACUUGCCGCACCAUAUCCACCACUAGCCUUCCGCCUCCACGACGUCUGCCAUCCCUAUUCAUUACCUCACUUUCCGUUACCCUGCAAAUGCGGAAUAAAAUGGGUUUAAAUACCCUAUGUGGUACCAUCGUCAUCCAUCACACACGCCUUCUCGCGUUCCAUCUGGGAAGAGGCCUCCGGCCAGGUUGCGCUUCAGGACAAACGUGCUCGACUCCACGUUAUGCUUCAACCAUCUCUUACUGCUGGGAAUUGUUUCAUUACUUCACAUGCCCCUUUGCAUUUUUUUUCCUGAUUUGUGCUUUACUCUCACUUUGUCAUGUGCAACAAUGGUAAAAUGCUAAUAUGAAAAAUCAGGCUUUCAAAUUCCAUGGUACUUGCUAUAGUUAUUUUAGUUACAGAUCGAUUGCUCAUCCAAAUAAACUCUGUUGAUUAUGGAAAAUUAGGCUUUCAAAUUUAAUGGUACUUGCUAUAGUUCUUCUACAUACAGAUCGAUUGUUCAUCCAAAUAAACUCUCUUGGUUCCUCAUAUUAUUAUACCCGAAACACUCCCUCUAGGUACUAGAUGAACUGAUCGAAAAGAGGCAAGGGGUAAGGUUAUUGAUUCAUUUUUUGGACAGUUCAAUUAGUUAAAUGAUGUGUGGGCAUGAGUAUAUUUGUUACCAAUGCAACAUAUAUCUUUGGAAAAAUUAAGAUAGACCAUGGUGUUCAUGUCGAUUCUAUCAGCAUUUGUGUCAUCCUCCUUCUGCACUAUCCCAGAUUGCACUCCCGGAUCGCACGUGACGGACAUUUUGCUUCAUAGAUCUCUUGCUUCUUGCAUCGAUAAAAAAUGGAGUCUAAUGCUGGAUCAUCCUCUUCCCCAAGUGAAACGUUCAGUGAAAUAUAUAAUCGUAUGGAAUGUCGCUAUAUUACACCAAACGAGGCUGUUUGGCGCUUGCCUGAGUAUCACAUUCACCCUACAUACCUGUCCACAAAAAGACUCCCUGUUAUACUUAAUGGAAUGAAGAUUGAUUCAGUAUCCCGGUUCCCCAUAGGUCAUGUCAAAAAGAAAAGCUUCUCAAUCAACAACGCACACGUGCUUCGCUCUACAAAGCCAUCUCCAAUCAAAGAAUUGACGACCCAUCCAUCUUGAACAAUAAAUAUUGAGAGUAUGAUGAUCCAAACACCAGAGGACUCAAACAAUACUACACCUCCUUCUUGCCCAGGCACUCUUUAGCUAAAAGGAUCGCUGAAUUUACAGAAGAUGAAACCACCAACAAAGAGAGUCAAAAGGAGGUUGAUCUUGAGGCUGCAAAACUUCAUCUUCAAGUUGUCAAAAGGCAUAAGCAAUACAUUGCAGGAAACAACAUGACAAUGAAUAGCUAAGAAGGCCAAGAGGAUAACACCGAUAAAAAAACAUAGGAUAUCGUCAAGCACUCACUCAAGCAGCAACAAACUACACUGCCUUCUAUUUGAAUUACUUACAUUGAGGCUUUAAUUGUAAUCUCUCUCAUUAGUAGUACUUUUGGGUGAUUCGAUGCAUGUACUGAGUUAUGGA